Molecule: ribosomal RNA, 445 nt
Filed under: uncultured organism
Description: partial 16S ribosomal RNA
Rfam family: Bacterial small subunit ribosomal RNA
Source: RNAcentral
CACUCCUGCGGGAGGCAGCAGUGGGGAAUAUUGGACAAUGGGCGCAAGCCUGAUCCAGCCAUGCCGCGUGAGUGAUGAAGGCCCUAGGGUUGUAAAGCUCUUUCACCGGUGAAGAUAAUGACGGUAACCGGAGAAGAAGCCCCGGCUAACUUCGUGCCAGCAGCCGCGGUAAUACGAAGGGGGCUAGCGUUGUUCGGAUUUACUGGGCGUAAAGCGCACGUAGGCGGACUAUUAAGUCAGGGGUGAAAUCCCGGGGCUCAACCCCGGAACUGCCUUUGAUACUGGUAGUCUUGAGUUCGAGAGAGGUGAGUGGAAUUCCGAGUGUAGAGGUGAAAUUCGUAGAUAUUCGGAGGAACACCAGUGGCGAAGGCGGCUCACUGGCUCGAUACUGACGCUGAGGUGCGAAAGCGUGGGGAGCAAACAGGAUUAGAAACCCUGGUAGUCC